Non-coding RNA from Infundibulicybe gibba, 92 nucleotides. The record is from the annotation of a GenBank genome assembly. NCBI's taxonomy places the organism in Eukaryota, Fungi, Basidiomycota, Agaricomycetes, Agaricales, Omphalinaceae.
GGUGGGUUGGCGUAAUGGCAACGCGUUAGUUUCCGGCUGUUCGAAUCGACAGACUGAGCUAAAGAUUCUGGGUUCGAGUCCCAGGCCCGUCG